Molecule: ribosomal RNA, 381 nt
Filed under: uncultured eukaryote
Lineage: Eukaryota
Description: SSU rRNA
Rfam family: Eukaryotic small subunit ribosomal RNA
Source: RNAcentral
AGCUCCAAUAGCGUAUAUUAAAGUUGUUGCGGUUAAAAAGCUCGUAGUUGGAUUUCUGUUGAGGGCGGCCGGUCCGCACUACGUGCGUGUAUCUGGUCUGGCCUCGGCAUCCUCUCGGAAAACGCUACUGUGCUUGAUUGCAUGGUGUGGGGUUCGGGACUUUUACUUUGAGGAAAUUAGAGUGUUCACGGCAGGCAAUCGCCCUGAAUAUAUUAGCAUGGAAUAAUAAUAUAGGAUCUGUUGCCUAUUUUGUUGGUUUCUAGGCGGUAGAUAAUGAUUAAGAGGGACAGUUGGGGGCAUUCGUAUUAUGGCGUCAGAGGUGGAAUUCUUGGAUUGCCAUACGACGAACUACUGCGAAAGCAUUUGCCAAGGAUGUUUUCA